CCUACGGGCGGCAGCAGUGAGGAAUAUUGGUCAAUGGGCGCUAGUCUGAACCAGCCAAGUAGCGUGAAGGAUGACUGCCCUAUGGGUUGUAAACUUCUUUUAUAAGGGAAUAAAAUGAGGCACGUGUACCUCUUUGCAUGUACUUUAUGAAUAAGGAUCGGCUAACUCCGUGCCAGCAGCCGCGGUAAUACGGAGGAUCCGAGCGUUAUCCGGAUUUAUUGGGUUUAAAGGGAGCGUAGGCGGGUUGUUAAGUCAGUGGUAAAAGUUUGCGGCUCAACCGCAAAAUGCCGUUGGUUCUGGCAGCCUUGAGUACAGUAGAGGUAGGCGGAAUGCGUGGUGUAGCGGUGAAAUGCUUAGAUAUCACGAAGAACUCCGAUUGCGAAGGCAGCCUACUGGACUGUAACUGACGCUGAUGCUCGAAAGUGUGGGUAUCAAACAGGAUUAGAUACCCUUGUAGUC
RNAcentral lists this ribosomal RNA (459 nucleotides) under uncultured bacterium. RNAcentral's name for it is "partial 16S ribosomal RNA". It matches the Rfam family "Bacterial small subunit ribosomal RNA", at positions 338 to 795 of the family's 1533-position model. The record is from RNAcentral.